GUCAGGACGAACGCUGGCGGCGUGCUUAACACAUGCAAGUCGAGCGAUGAAGCUUCUUCGGAAGUGGAUUAGCGGCGGACGGGUGAGUAACACGUGGGUAACCUGCCUCAUAGAGGGGAAUAGCCUUCCGAAAGGAAGAUUAAUACCGCAUAAGAUUGUAAUAUCGCAUGAUAUAGCAAUUAAAGGAGCAAUCCGCUAUGAGAUGGACCCGCGUCGCAUUAGCUAGUUGGUGAGGUAACGGCUCACCAAGGCGACGAUGCGUAGCCGACCUGAGAGGGUGAUCGGCCACAUUGGGACUGAGACACGGCCCAGACUCCUACGGGAGGCAGCAGUGGGGAAUAUUGCACAAUGGGGGAAACCCUGAUGCAAGCAACGCCGCGUGAGUGAUGACGGUCUUCGGAUUGUAAAGCUCUGUCUUCAGGGACGAUAAUGACGGUACCUGAGGAGGAAGCCACGGCUAACUACGUGCCAGCCGCCGC
Molecule: ribosomal RNA, 479 nt
Filed under: uncultured bacterium
Lineage: Bacteria
Description: bacterial SSU rRNA
Rfam family: Bacterial small subunit ribosomal RNA
Source: RNAcentral